Molecule: long non-coding RNA, 703 nt
Organism: Gallus gallus (chicken)
Lineage: Eukaryota; Metazoa; Chordata; Aves; Galliformes; Phasianidae
Exons: 2
Source: RefSeq, a predicted model, not a curated record
CCCUCUUCUCGUCUCACUGUGUUCCCUGCCGGAUCGACUCACCUCUGCUGCGCCCAACUGCACGCAAGGCUUCAGUAUUAGUGUGAUACCAGUGGAGACUCAGACUGCAGUAACAUGCAAAAAUCAAAACUUCAAAAGAAGGAGGAAAUCGAACUGAUGUGUUUCUUGGCGAGGUACAUGAACAUUUUUCCAACAGAAGUGACGUGUCUCACAGGAGCUUUCAGUAUAUGUUACAGCGUAAUCUGUAUCAAACUGAACAUACAGUUUCCCCUGUUACAAACAACUUCUUAAACAGAACUCAAGGCUCAGCUCUUCAGAACAUGCUAGGCACCUUCUUCUGUCUCAUGGGAUCUGAUUCUACCUUACAGGCAUCACAGACCUCCAGGAAAAUCUGUGCCCUUCCAAGACACCAUCUAACCACAAAGGUACUGAUCAGGUACUGACCACUAUGCCCCACAGCUUGUGCUACCUUGAGACUUAGAAGCGCAAAGGAAAGCAGCGCAUCUUUCACCUUGUGCAUGGCCUUAAGACUAACCCUGGUACUGCAUUCUUAUGUAACUUUAGACAGUAUCCUUUAUACACAAAUGUAGUUGUAAAGUCUUGAUCCUCCAUGCACAGACACACACCUUAGUUUUGGCAUUUCUUAAUUCUGAGUUCCUGAUGUACAAAAGAUCUGGCAUUAUAUACAGACUGUUUAUUUUUC